GUGAGGAAUUUUCCGCAAUGGGCGAAAGCCUGACGGAGCAAUGCCGCGUGAAGGAUGAAGGCCUAUGGGUUGUAAACUUCUUUUCUCAGAAAAGAAUUAUGACGGUAUCUGAGGAAUAAGCAUCGGCUAACUCUGUGCCAGCAGCCGCGGUAAGACAGAGGAUGCAAGCGUUAUCCGGAAUGAUUGGGCGUAAAGCGUCUGUAGGUUGUUUAAAAAGUAUUCUGUCAAAGAUUAGGGCUUAACCCUAGAUAGGCAGAAUAAACUUUUAAGCUAGAGGUUGGUAGAGGCAGAGGGAAUUCCCGGUGGAGCGGUGAAAUGCGUAGAUAUCGGGAGGAACACCAAAGGCGAAGGCACUCUGCUGGGCCAAUACUAACACUGAGAGACGAAAGCGAGGGGAGCAAAUGGGAUUAGAAACCCCUGUAGUCC
Molecule: ribosomal RNA, 426 nt
Filed under: uncultured bacterium
Lineage: Bacteria
Description: bacterial SSU rRNA
Rfam family: Bacterial small subunit ribosomal RNA
Source: RNAcentral